RNAcentral lists this long non-coding RNA (2650 nucleotides) under Triticum aestivum (bread wheat). RNAcentral describes it as "long non-coding RNA (TAES_LNC018123)". The record is from RNAcentral. Lineage: Eukaryota; Viridiplantae; Streptophyta; Magnoliopsida; Poales; Poaceae.
CCGCCGCCCGUGGACUUCGCUGGCGCUGCCUUCCCACCGGACUGCCCCGUCACCACCUCACCCUCGUCGGCCGACGCUUCCUGACGCCGCGCCCGUCGCUCGUCACCGCGCCGUCGUCGUCCCGUCGUCGACCAUCGCCACCCCGAGCCCCCCUCGAGCUCGCUGCCACCUCCCUACGACUCCGAUGUGAGCCGCGUCCGCCCCCCUUUUUCCCCCAUCGUUUCCAUCGUCGAUUUGCGCCGUCCAGCUCGCGCCCGAAGCUCGCGACGACCUCGUGCUCACCGUGCCCGCGUCCUGACCGCGCACCACCGCGCGCCACUGCAGCCGCGCCUGCAUCGGCUGCCGCUCGCCGAGUCCGCCUCCGCCCCAGUCCUCGCGGCUCCGGCCGGCCGCGCCAUGGCCGCCGGCGCACGCCCUCCUGGGCGUCCGAGUGCUCCCCGCCCCUGGUGGCCUCGAGCACGCACGCCCACACCCGAGCGCCCCGCUCCUGCAGCCCCGAUAGCCCGCUCCAGUGGCCAGAUGGGCCACUGCUAGCGGGGCCCCACGCCCCUGUUUAAAAAAAAGAAUUAAAAUAAAUAAAAAUAAAAUUAAUUAAUUAAUUAGUUAAUUAACCCUGUUUAGAUUAAUCUAAUUUAAUUAAUUAGUUUAAUUAAUUAGUUAACCCUAAUUACCCUAAUCAGUUUAUGACAUGUGGGACCCACGUGUCAGAUGACUGCUGACGUCAGCAUGAUGUCAUGCUGAUGUCAUCGCAACACUGUUUUGGAUAAUGUUGAAUUAAAUAAUUAAUUAAAAUUCAUAAAAUGAUUAAAUCUUUAGAAAAUCAUAUAAAAUAAUCCGUAACUCGGAUGAAAAUACUUUCUACAUGAAAGUUGCUCAGAACGACGAGACGAAUCCGAAUACGCAGUCCGUUCGUCCGCCACGCGUCCCUAGCAUAGUGAACCUGCAACAUUUCACCUCCGGUUCAUCUGUCCGAAAACGUGAAACACCGGGGAUACUUUCCCGGAUGUUUCCCCCCUUCACCGGUAUCACCUCAUACCGCGUUAGAACACGUCUAGCUCUGCCUGUUGUCUUGUUAUGCACUUGCUUGCUAUGUAUUUACUGUUUCUCCCCCCUCUUCUCUUCGGUAGACCCCGUGACGAUGCUGAUGCCCCUGUGGUCGACUACGUCACCGACGACCCCUCCUUCUUGUCUGAGCAACCAGGCAAGCCCCCCCUUGAUCACCAGAUAUCGCCUAUUCUUCUCUAUACUGCUUGCAUUAGAGUAGUGUAGCAUGCUACUGCUUUCGUUAAUCCUAUCCUGAUGCAUAGCCUGUCAUUGUUGCUACAGUUGUUACCCUUACCUGCUAUCCUACUGCUUAGUAUAGGAUGCUAGUGUUCCAUCAGUGGCCCUACACUCUUGUCCGUCCGCCAUGCUAUACUACUGGGCCGUGAUCACUUCGGGAGGUGAUCAUGGGUAUAUACUAUAUACAUUAUAUACAUGACACAUGUGGUGACUAAAGUCGGGUCGGCUCAUUGAGUACCCGUAAGUGAUUCUGAUGAGGGGGCUGAAAGGACAGGUGGCUCCACCCCGGUAGAGGUGGGCCUGGGUUCCUGACGGCCCCUGACUGUUACUUUGUGGCGGAGCGACAGGGCAGGUUGAGACCACCUAGGAGAGAGGUGGGCUUGGCCCUGGUCGGCGUUCGCGGAUACUUAACACGCUUAACGAGAUCUUGGUAUUUGAUCUGAGUCUGGCCAUUUGGUCUAUACGCACUAACCAUCUACGCGGGAGUAGUUAUGGGUAUCCCGACGUCGUGGUAUCAGCCGAAGCUCUUUUGACGUCAGCGACUGAGUGGCGCGCGCCGCAUUGGACCGUAAGCUCGCGCUUGUAUUAAGGGGGCUAGGUCUGCUUCCGGCCGCGUACGCAACGUGCAGGUGUGCAUAGGGCGAUGGGCCCAGACCCCUGCGCGCAUAGGUUUAGACCGGCGUGCUGACCUCUCUGUUGAUCCUAGGUGGGGCUGCGACGUGUUGAUCUUACGAGGCCGGGCAUGACCCAGAAAAGUGUGUCCGGCCAAAUGGGAUCGAGCGUGUUGGGUUAUGUGGUGCACCCCUGCAGGGAAGUUUAUCUAUUCGAAUAGCCGUGUCCCUCGGUAAAAGGACGACCCGGAGUUGUACCUUGACCUUAUGACAACUAGAACCGGAUACUGAAUAAAAUACACCCUUCCAAGUGCCAGAUACAACCCGGUGAUCGCUCUCUAACAGGGCGACGAGGAGGGGAUCGCCGGGUAGGAUUAUGCUAUGCGAUGCUACUUGGAGGACUUCAAUCUACUCUCUUCUACAUGCUGCAAGAUGGAGAUGGCCAGAAGCGUAGUCUUCGACAGGACUAGCUAUCCCCCUUUUAUUCUGGCAUUCUGCAGUUCAGUCCACUGAUAUGCCCCUUUACACAUAUACCCUUGCAUAUGUAGUGUAGCUCCUUGCUUGCGAGUACUUUGGAUGAGUACUCACGGUUGCUUUUCUCCUUCUUUUCCCCUUUCUAUACCGGAUUGUCGCAACCAGAUGCUGGAGUCCAGGAGCUAGAGAUCCCGAGGAUGAUUCUACGUGGAGUUCGGCUUCGAGGAGUAGUUAGGAGGUCCCAGGCAGGAGGCCUUGCCUUUUCGAUCGUUGCUAUUUUUGUG